Callorhinchus milii (elephant shark) is the source of this 1720-nucleotide non-coding RNA. Lineage: Eukaryota; Metazoa; Chordata; Chondrichthyes; Chimaeriformes; Callorhinchidae. The record is from the annotation of a RefSeq genome assembly.
CCGGCUGUUCUCUGUCCCUCGAUUAUUCGGCAGAAGCUUCAGUUCUGACAAGUGUCGAGAAACAUGAGGUCCCUGAUUUCUCUCAGUCUGCUGCUGGCUGUCUUCUCCUGUGUUCAGGCCGCUGAGGUGCUGACACAGCCGGCGACUCUCAGCGGGGAAACCGGCCAGACCCUGAGACUGACCUGCACAACCAGCGGGUUUAAUUACGGCACAUACUACUACUGGAUGUAUUGGUACCGGCAGUUUCCUGGGAAGCAGAAGGAAUGGCUCCUCAGUUAUUACAGCUCAUCCUACAAGGGAUUCGCGUCCGGUAUUGAAAACCGUGUCACUGUCAUCAGAGACGAUUCCAAUAACAUCUUCGAUCUGAUCAUCAAAAGCCCGACAGUGGAGGACACCGCCACCUAUUACUGUGCAGCAGACUCACAUGUCGACUACUGGGGACAAGGCACCAAGGUGACGGUGACUGACGAAAAUGUGUCACGGAAGCUAUCGCCCUAAGUUGUCAUCCUAACACAGACUUCCCCUGAAGACAUAAAAAUGCACAACUUGGCCAUUGCAGUUUGUUUUAUAUCCGGUUUCCAUCCGGACAAACUAAGUCUUAAAUGGCUGAAGGAUUGGCAGCCCAUCAGGUCAGGUGUUGUGACAUCUCCCUCAGUUAAAGAGAAGGGGACAUUCCGCGCAAACAGCCGCCUGAAUGUCCCCGCCAUAGAGUGGAGCAUUGGCGCGGUUUGCACCUGUCAGGUGUCCCAUGAAUCCACGCACACCAUCAUUGUCAAGAACAUCACUACGCCAUCAGUUGUUAUCCUCACGCAGACUUCCCCUGAAGACACCAAAAUGCACAACUUGGCAACUGCUCUCUGCUUAAUAUCGGGUUUCCAUCCGGACAAACUCAGUGUUAAAUGGCUGAAGGAUUGGCAGCCCAUCACCUCAGGUGUUGUGACCGCUCCCUCGGUUAAAGAAGACAACGGGACAUUCAGUGCCAACAGCCGCCUGACUGUAGCCACCAGAGAAUGGAGCAAUGGCGCGAUUUACACAUGUCAGGUGUCCCAUGAACCCACCCACACCAUCAUUGUCAAGAACAUCACCACGCCAUCAGAUAAAGUACUGCAUAAACCGUCGCCCCCAGUUGUUAUGCUCACGCAGACUUCCCCUGCAGACAUCAAAAUGCACAACAUGGCCACUGCUGUCUGCUUAAUAUCUGGUUUCCAUCCGGACAAACUCAGUGUUAAGUGGCUGAAGAAUUGGCAGCCCAUCAGCUCAGGUGUUGUAACCUCUCCCUCGGUUAAAGAAGACAACGGGACAUUUAGUGCCAACAGCCGCCUGACUGUGCCCACCAGAGAAUGGAGCAACGGCGCGGUUUACACCUGUCAGGUGUCCCAUGAACCCACCCACACCAACAUUGUCAAGAACAUCACUACGCCAUCAGGCUUGGGCCUGUCACUUUUCUUCACCAGGUUAUUUGAACACGCCCAUCGUAGAAAAUCUGUCAUAAGCUCAUGGAAUUCUCUGAAACCGAAGGGUUUUGCGAACAUUACUGGCCAUCAGAAUGUGUCUGAUAAUCAGAGCAUUGAACAGACAAAUCAGUGCCAAACCAAAGACGGAACGAAUAACACGAGAAUAUUGAUACCCGAGACUUUGAUGCUUACCAAGGGUGUGGAGCAGGGUAAGAUAAACAAGAGUGUGGUCAUUGAGGAACUCAUUGAUCUGGACCGUGAAAGAG